CGGGGCUAAUACCGGAUAAUACAUGAAACCGCAUGGUUUCAUGAUGAAAGACGGUUUUGCUGUCACUUAUAGACGGACCCGCGGCGUAUUAGCUAGUUGGUAAGGUAACGGCUUACCAAGGCAACGAUGCGUAGCUGACCUGAGAGGGUGAUCGGCCACACUGGAACUGAGACACGGUCCAG
Molecule: ribosomal RNA, 182 nt
Filed under: uncultured Staphylococcus sp.
Lineage: Bacteria; Bacillati; Bacillota; Bacilli; Caryophanales; Staphylococcaceae
Description: partial 16S ribosomal RNA
Rfam family: Bacterial small subunit ribosomal RNA
Source: RNAcentral